This is a non-coding RNA of Dentipellis sp. KUC8613, 121 nucleotides long. The record is from the annotation of a GenBank genome assembly. Lineage: Eukaryota; Fungi; Basidiomycota; Agaricomycetes; Russulales; Hericiaceae.
GGAUGCAUAGUGUAGAUGGUUAUCACGCUCGCUUCGCAAAUUUCUGCAAUUUCUUCGGCUCGGAGAUCUAGAAUGUCAAUACGACUGCGAGAGGUGUCCGGUUCAAUUCCGGAUGCAUCCA